This is a long non-coding RNA of Bombus pyrosoma, 559 nucleotides long. RefSeq lists it as uncharacterized. Lineage: Eukaryota; Metazoa; Arthropoda; Insecta; Hymenoptera; Apidae. The transcript is spliced from 3 exons. The record is from RefSeq and is a predicted model, not a curated record.
CUCGAGGAAGCGUGUCAACGGGAGUCGUAAAUUCUCGUUACGAUUAUACAAUCGACGCCACGAAAAGAUCGAUCCCCUAUUUUGUUUAGGAUAAUAGAGGAUAAUAAAAUUGAUUACAACAUUGAGUUAGCAGAUAUAGACGGUGAAGAGAUGACAGUUGACUGAUCUGAAGAUGAUGAACCAGCGAAGUUCGGUGACGAUGCUGUCGCAGAGGAAAACUAUUGCUGGGUGUUGGUCGCCACACCACCGGUCGCGUGCGGGUGGAAAUGACCGUCGAACAUGGGAAAAACCCGACUUUCUCAUUUUUUAUCUGAUGGAGCAAUAGCCAUAAGGAACCUCUUGACUUGAAGGUGUUUUAUACCAAUUAACGGCCUUAACGCGAGUGGCUGUCUUGACCGAGGGAUGAAUUCUGAUUGAUGUAAAGAGUCACCGGACGUAACAUAUCUACUAUUGUAAUAUUUCGUUUCGAGUAUGAAGAAAUUGUUUGCAAUUAUUUAAUGCGCUUCACAGAAACAUACUUUUUACAUGCUGUGAUGGAACAGAAGAUCGAAGUGGUACA